RNAcentral lists this ribosomal RNA (388 nucleotides) under uncultured bacterium. RNAcentral's name for it is "bacterial SSU rRNA". It matches the Rfam family "Bacterial small subunit ribosomal RNA", at positions 28 to 418 of the family's 1533-position model. The record is from RNAcentral.
GAUUAACGCUGGCGGCGUGCAUGAGACAUGCAAGUCGAACGGACGAUCAGGGCUUGCUCUGGUCGUUAGUGGCGGACGGCUGAGUAACGCGUAGGUGACCUGCCCCGAAGUGGGGGAGUAACUGCCCGAAGGGUGGCUAAUACCGCAUGUGGUGGUUCGUUCAUUCGAACCAUCAAAGCAGCAAUGCGCUUCGGGAGGGGCCUGCGUCCGAUUAGCUCGUUGGUGGGGAACGGCUCACCAAGGCGACGAUCGGUAGGUGGUCUGAGAGGACGAUCACCCAGACUGGGACUGAGACACGGCCCAGACUCCUACGGGAGGCAGCAGUCGGGAAUUUUGCGCAAUGGACGAAAGUCUGACGCAGCAACGCCGCGUGAGGGAUGAAGGCCUU